Molecule: ribosomal RNA, 468 nt
Filed under: uncultured bacterium
Lineage: Bacteria
Description: partial 16S ribosomal RNA
Rfam family: Bacterial small subunit ribosomal RNA
Source: RNAcentral
GACGAACGCUGGCGGCGUGCUUAACACAUGCAAGUCGAACGGAAAGGCCCUGCUUUUGUGGGGUGCUCGAGUGGCGAACGGGUGAGUAACACGUGAGUAACCUGCCCUUGACUUUGGGAUAACUUCAGGAAACUGGGGCUAAUACCGGAUAGGAGCUCCUGCUGCAUGGUGGGGGUUGGAAAGUUUCGGCGGUUGGGGGUGGACUCGCGGCUUAUCAGCUUGUUGGUGGGGUAGUGGCUUACCAAGGCUUUGACGGGUAGCCGGCCUGAGAGGGUGACCGGCCACAUUGGGACUGAGAUACGGCCCAGACUCCUACGGGAGGCAGCAGGGGGGAAUAUUGCACAAUGGGCGGAAGCCUGAUGCAGCAACGCCGCGUGCGGGAUGACGGCCUUCGGGUUGUAAACCGCUUUCGCCUGUGACGAAGCGUGAGUGACGGUAAUGGGUAAAGAAGCACCGGCUAACUACGUG